CACACACACACACACACACACACACACACACACACACACACAUAUCCAGUAUUCAUAAAGCUGGCAACACCGCAGGGAAUACCGGCACAGAGAAAAGCUGCAGGGGAUCACAGCUCUGUACCGGGGCAGGUGACUCGGGGGUGUUCUAUCCCCUCUCAGGGAGCGUGUUGAGGUAGUGGGGUGCUGUUCCAGACAAGGUCUUGUAGAUAAAGAGGGGUGUGACAUGGGUUCUUCUGGGCUGGUUGAAAACACGGCGUGCUGCUGCAUUCUGAAUCAUCUGAAGGGGUUUGAUGGAGCUGACUGGGAGGCCCGGGAGUAGCACAGUGCAAUAGUCCAAUUUAGAAAUAACGAGCCUGGACUACAGUGAGGGAAAAAAGUAUUUGAUCCCCUGCUGAUUUUGUACGUUUGCCCACUGACAAAGAAAUGAUCAUUCUAUAAUUUUAAUGGUAGAUUUAUUUGAACAGUGAGAGACAGAAUAACAACAAAAAAAUCCAGAAAAACGCACGUCAAAAAUGUUAUAAAUUAAUUACUAUAUUGAAUACUUUUUUCCCUCACUGUAGUUGCUAUGUAGCCUGUUCAGUGAGAUAGGGCUCAGUGGGUUCAGUGAGAUACCUCUUAAUGUUAUAUCCACACCUGAUGUUAAAUUCACCCCCUAAAGUUAUAUACACACACUCCUAACAUUAUUUCCAUUCCCAUAAUCUAUAUCCAUCCCCCUAACCUGAUUGGAAAGCUGAGCUUGCUGGUACUAAACACCUCCCUCUACAAUUUGAUCCUGGACUUCCUGGACUUCAGUUAGUCUGGAUUGGGAGCAGCAUCUCCAGCACCACCACACUGAGCACUGGGGCCCCCCAGGGCUGUGUGCUCAGUCCACUGCUGUUCACUCUGCUGACUCAUGACUGUGCAUCAAUGCACAGCUCGAGUCAACUCAUCAAGUUUGCAGAUGACACGACUGUGUUGUGUCUCAUCAGCAAGAAUGACAAGUCGGCAUACUGAGAUGAGGUGCAGCGGCUAACAAACUGGUGCAGAGUAAACAAUCCGUCUCUGAAUGUGGACAAAACCAAAGAGAUAGUUGUUGACUUCAGGAGAGCACAAAGCGACCACUCUCCACUGAACAUCGACAGCUCCUCUGUGGAGAUCAUCAAGAGCACCAAGAGAACCUCACCUUGUCCCUCAACACCAGCUCCAUAACCAAGAAAGCAUCCUGAGCAGCUGCAUCACUGCCUGGUUUGGAAAUUGCACUGUUUCGUAAUGCAAGACCUUGCAGAGAAUAGUGAAAGCAGCUGAGAAGAUCAUCGGGGUCUCUCUUCCCUCCACCACAGAAACCACCCGCUGCAUCCGCAAAGAUGAUGAUUCGACACACCGCCACACAAACUCUUCAUCCUCCUGCCGUCUGGCAAAAGAGAAGGCGAGGAAGAAGAUGGAGAAAGAAGAGGAGGAGACAUAAGGCCUAAUCACAGCUCCACCUGUCUCCCUCAUUGGCAACACCAGACAGGAACUUGGCCAUGGACAGAUCUGGCUGUGCGACAGAGAGAGAGAGAGAGAGAGAGAGAGAGAGAGAGAGAGAGAGAGAAGAGAGAGAGGAGAGAUAGAGAGGAGGAGGGAGGGAGGGAGGAGAGAGAGAGAGGGAGGGAGGGAGGGAGGGGAGGGAGAGGAGGGAGAGGAGGGAGAGAGAGAGAGAGAGAGAGAGAGAGAGGGAGGGAGAGAGAGAGAGAGAGAGAGAGAGAGGGAGGGGAGGGAGAGAGAGAGAGAGAGAAAGAGAGAGAGGGAGGGAGGGAGAGAAGAGAGAGAGAGGGAGAGAGAGAGAGAGAGAG
This is a long non-coding RNA of Ictalurus punctatus (channel catfish), 1811 nucleotides long. The record is from Ensembl. Lineage: Eukaryota; Metazoa; Chordata; Actinopteri; Siluriformes; Ictaluridae.